GACACUCAAAAAUAAGAAAAGUGUCUAUCAAGGGCUUACUAUGUGCUAUGCAAAGCUAUAAGAGCUUUACACAUAUUAACACAUUUGAUUCUCACUACAUUUCUAGGAGGUAAAGACUAUCAUUAUCCUGUUUACAGAUGGGAAAACUGACACAGAGGUUAAGUAGCUUGCUCACUCUUCAAAGGAAUUCUUCCCCUCCUGAGCCAGGCUCCUUCACUGGGGGGGGUGUGUGUGUGUGUUCCCUGUGUCACAUUCAGAGCACCGGACUGGGAGUUCAUGAACCUGUCACUCCCUGGCUAUGGGUCCCUGAGCCACCUCCUUCCUGCAUGGUGACUGUAUUCGGCUGCUGCCCUCACAAUAGCCCCAGGAAUUGAGCUACAAAUGAGCUGUGUCAUGAUUGUCUCACUUUGUCCACUUUAUGAGGUCAGAGUUGCCUUUCCCAUUUGAUGGGCAGAAAAACUGAGACCUACGGUCACAGAGCUGGCAAGUGGUGGGGGUGGGCCUGGAAUCCAGCCUGGGAGUCUGAACCCAGCCCUGAAUUCCUGCCCUUACCUGGGCUGGUCCUCCUGAGCCUGUCUAGUGCGCUCCAGCUCCCGGCUCUGGGAGGCGUGUCCUGACUGCCUGCUCCUGGCUGCACUGCACUGCGUGUCAGGAGGCCCUUCUCUGAGUCUGCCUGUGGGGUGUGCUGCUUCCCAUCUGUCUGGGCUCGCUGAGCCUGGACAGCACCUUGCCCCUUGGAUAGGAGCCCCAGGGUGGGGCUGUGUCAACCUCUUCAGUCUAGUCUAGGCCUUCUGCUUUUGUCACUAGGAGCUCAGGGUGUGGAGGGGGCAGAAUGACACCAGAGACUGAGCAAAUCACUUCCUGGCUCUGUGCGUCAGUUUCUGACUCUAAGAAAUGGAUUUAACAACAGCCCACUGGCCCUGGGGCCAGGGAAGAUAAAGAAGAUACAGUAGGCCUGGGCCUGCCAGGCCUCCCUCCUGUUUUCAUGACACCGCCUCCCCAUUACCACCCUAGAGGCCUCUUUGGCUGCUGCCACAAUGAGGGGCCCCCUUCUGGGUCCUUGGGGCCCCCGGGGUCAUCUCAUUUGUCUCUCUGCCGAGCACAGUACCUGGAACAUGGCCGCCAGGGAGACCAGUGCCGCCCACCAUGCGAUUUCGACGCCUGACCCCUGGUUACUUCCGGGUGCUACAGAUGCAGGUAGCUGGUGAGCUGAAGGCAGAGCCCCGCAGUCUGCUGGUGGGAGUUGUGGCUACAGUGCUAGCUGUCCUCGGGCUGGGUGGCUCCUGCUAUGCCGUCUGGAAGAUGGUGGGGCAGCGGCGGGUGCCACGGGCCCCAUAAUGAAGAAGAGAGACUCUCACCUGGACGCUGGGGGUAGGUGACUCGGGAGGGGGCUGCAAUCUCAGAAGCCUUCUUUUCUGGGGAUCAGUCUCUGUCGGAAGCAGGACAGAGUAAUCUGAUCCCACUCCCGCCACCCCACACUGCAUCAGGCCUCCAUCUGGGUGCUCCAGUUCAGAUGCUAGGACCUCAGAGGGAAGGCAGGGAUGUGGGCUCC
Non-coding RNA from Macaca mulatta (Rhesus monkey), 1552 nucleotides. Lineage: Eukaryota; Metazoa; Chordata; Mammalia; Primates; Cercopithecidae. The record is from RefSeq and is a predicted model, not a curated record.